Molecule: signal recognition particle RNA, 268 nt
Filed under: Thermoleophilaceae bacterium
Lineage: Bacteria; Bacillati; Actinomycetota; Thermoleophilia; Thermoleophilales; Thermoleophilaceae
Description: signal recognition particle sRNA large type
Rfam family: Bacterial large signal recognition particle RNA
About the family: The signal recognition particle (SRP) is a universally conserved ribonucleoprotein involved in the co-translational targeting of proteins to membranes. Archaeal SRP consists of a 7S RNA and homologues of the eukaryotic SRP19 and SRP54 proteins. In most bacteria, the SRP consists of a 4.5S RNA and the Ffh protein (a homologue of the eukaryotic SRP54 protein).
Source: RNAcentral
CCGUGCUAGGCGGGGAGGUAGCGGUGCCCUGCACCCACAAUCCGCUCUAGUGGGGCUGAAUUCCCGUUCGAGGGGCUUCGGCUCCCGGGGUCAGUACGCCGCUGCGAGGCGCUGAUGGCCGGGUCCCGCGCGGUGGACGCUCGUGAACCAGGUCAGAUCCGGAAGGAAGCAGCCUUAAGCGAAUCCGUCCAUGCGCCGCGGACCAGCCUGGCCGUAGUCGAGUAGCGGCGGGCACGCCCGGGAGCUUGCAACGACGACGGGUGCACGG